This 87-nucleotide transfer RNA is filed under the name Thermoguttaceae bacterium. RNAcentral's name for it is "tRNA-Ser". It matches the Rfam family "tRNA". From Rfam's summary of the family: Transfer RNA (tRNA) molecules are approximately 80 nucleotides in length. Their secondary structure includes four short double-helical elements and three loops (D, anti-codon, and T loops). Lineage: Bacteria; Pseudomonadati; Planctomycetota; Planctomycetia; Pirellulales; Thermoguttaceae. The record is from RNAcentral.
GGAUGGGUACCCAAGUGGUUGAAGGGACCGGUCUUGAAAACCGGCGACGGUUUGCGCCGUCCGUGGGUUCGAAUCCCACCUCAUCCG